Molecule: ribosomal RNA, 251 nt
Filed under: uncultured eukaryote
Lineage: Eukaryota
Description: partial Eukaryotic large subunit ribosomal RNA
Rfam family: Eukaryotic large subunit ribosomal RNA
Source: RNAcentral
AACGCCUCUAAGUCAGAAUCCAUGCUGGAAAGCGACGAUAUUCGCCUCGACCGAUGUUUUCGGUAACGAUAGCGCCUUGUGCGUCAACAUCAUAGACUAGCGGCACUGCCUCUUAAACUGGCACGUACGCUGAAACACAAUUUCCAAUGUUGGUCGAGUUAAAUCCUUUGUAGACGACUUAAAUAUGGAACGGGGUACUGUAAGCAUGAGAGUAGCCUUUGUGCUACGAUCUGCUGAGGUUCAGCCUCUUG